CAAAGACAGAGCCGUAGGGGACAAAGAGAGAGCUGUGGGGGACAAAGAGAGCUCUGUGGGGGACAAAGAGAGAGCUGUGGGGGACAAAGAGAGAGCUGUGGGGGGGACAAAGAGAGAGCUGUGGGGGACAAAGAGAGAGCUGUGGGGGACAAAGAGAGAGCUGUGGGGGACAAAGACAGAGCUGUGGGGGACAAAGAGAGAGCUGUGGGGGACAAAGACAGAGCCGUAGGGGACAAAGAGAGAGCUGUGGGGGACAAAGAGAGAGCUGUGGGGGACAAAGACAGAGCCGUAGGGGACAAAGAGAGAGCUGUGGGGGACAAAGAGAGAGCUGUGGGGGACAAAGACAGAGCCGUAGGGGACAAAGAGAGAGCUGUGGGGGACAAAGAGAGAGAGCUGUGGGGGACAAAGAGAGAGCUCUGGGGGACAAAGACAGAGCUGUGGGGGACAAAGAGAGAGAGCUGUGGGGGACAAAGAGAGAGCUCUGAAGAGAGAGCUGUGGGGGACAAAGACAGAGCCGUAGGGGACAAAGAGAGAGCUCUAAAGAGAGAGCUAUGGGGGACAUUGUCCAACACACUAUAAAUAGCAGUAUUAAAUGACUAAACGUUCCUAUGAGAAACUCAUGGUUAUGAGUGGUGUCUCCUCAUGUUCCCCUUCAUCCUCCUCCUUUUCCCCUUCAUCCUCCUCAUGUUACCUUCCUCCUCCUCAUGUUCCCCUUCAUCCUCCUCCUUUUCCCCUUCCUCCUCC
Molecule: long non-coding RNA, 744 nt
Organism: Oncorhynchus tshawytscha (Chinook salmon)
Lineage: Eukaryota; Metazoa; Chordata; Actinopteri; Salmoniformes; Salmonidae
Source: Ensembl